GAUGAAGAACGUAGUGAAAUGCGAUAAGUAAUGUGAAUUGCAGAAUUCAGUGAAUCAUCGAAUCUUUGAACGCACAUUGCGCCCGUCAGUAUUCUGGCGGGCAUGCCUGUUCGAGCGUCAUUACGCCCCUCAAGUCCCCUGUGGACUUGGUGUUGGGGAUCGGCGAGGCUGGUUUUCCAGCACAGCCGUCCCUUAAAUUAAUUGGCGGUCUCGCCGUGGCCCUCCUCUGCGCAGUAGUAAAACACUCGCAACAGGAGCCCGGCGCGGUCCACUGCCGUAAAACCCCCCAACUUUUUAUAGUUGACCUCGAAUCAGGUAGGACUACCCGCUGAACUUAAGCAUAACAAUAAGCGGAGGA
RNAcentral lists this unclassified non-coding RNA (358 nucleotides) under soil metagenome. RNAcentral's name for it is "partial contains 5.8S ribosomal RNA, internal transcribed spacer 2, and large subunit ribosomal RNA". The stretch from base 1 to 120 matches the Rfam family "5.8S ribosomal RNA", at positions 35 to 154 of the family's 154-position model. The record is from RNAcentral.